GACGAACGCUGGCGGCGUGCCUAAGACAUGCAAGUCGAGCGAGGGAACUUCGGUUUCCGAGCGGCGGACGGGUGAGUAACGCGUGGGUAACCUGCCCUUCAGCCCGGGAUAACUGCCUAGAAAAGGUGGCUAAUACCGGAUGCGGUGAUGAGGUCGCAUGAACUGAUCAACGAAAAUUACGGUGCUGAAGGAUGGGCCCGCGUCCCAUUAGCUAGUUGGUGAGGUAACGGCCCACCAAGGCGACGAUGGGUAGCCGGCCUGAGAGGGUGGACGGCCACACUGGGACUGAGACACGGCCCAGACUCCUACGGGAGGCAGCAGUCGGGAAUCUUCCACAAUGGGCGAAAGCCUGAUGGAGCGACGCCGCGUGAGGGAAGAAGGUCUUCGGAUCGUAAACCUCUGUCCUCAGGGACGAUGAUGACGGUACCUGAGGAGGAAGCCACGGCUAACUACGUG
RNAcentral lists this ribosomal RNA (456 nucleotides) under uncultured bacterium. RNAcentral describes it as "bacterial SSU rRNA". It matches the Rfam family "Bacterial small subunit ribosomal RNA", at positions 28 to 507 of the family's 1533-position model. The record is from RNAcentral.